RNAcentral lists this transfer RNA (69 nucleotides) under Marmota marmota marmota (Alpine marmot). It matches the Rfam family "tRNA". From Rfam's summary of the family: Transfer RNA (tRNA) molecules are approximately 80 nucleotides in length. Their secondary structure includes four short double-helical elements and three loops (D, anti-codon, and T loops). The record is from Rfam by way of RNAcentral. Lineage: Eukaryota; Metazoa; Chordata; Mammalia; Rodentia; Sciuridae. RNAcentral also lists the same sequence under 1 other name.
GGAGUUGUAGCUCAGUGGUAGAGCACUCACCUAGCAUGGGUGAGGUACUGGGUUCAAUCCUCAGCACCA